CCUACGGGAGGCUGCAGUGGGGAAUAUUGCACAAUGGGCGCAAGCCUGAUGCAGCCAUGCCGCGUGUGUGAAGAAGGCCUUCGGGUUGUAAAGCACUUUCAGCGGGGAGGAAGGCGUUAAGGUUAAUAACCUUGUCGAUUGACGUUACCCGCAGAAGAAGCACCGGCUAACUCCGUGCCAGCAGCCGCGGUAAUACGGAGGGUGCAAGCGUUAAUCGGAAUUACUGGGCGUAAAGCGCACGCGGCGGUGCUGUCAAGUCGGAUGUGAAAUCCCCGGGCUCAACCUGGGAACUGCAUUCGAAACUGGGAGGCUAGGGUCUUGUAGAGGGGGUAGAAUUCCAGGUGUAGCGGUGAAAUGCGUAGAGAUCUGGAGGAAUACCGGUGGCGAAGGCGGCCCCCUGGACAAAGACUGACGCUCAGGUGCGAAAGCGUGGGGAGCAAACAGGAUUAGAUACCCCAGUAGUC
Molecule: ribosomal RNA, 464 nt
Filed under: uncultured Klebsiella sp.
Lineage: Bacteria; Pseudomonadati; Pseudomonadota; Gammaproteobacteria; Enterobacterales; Enterobacteriaceae
Description: bacterial SSU rRNA
Rfam family: Bacterial small subunit ribosomal RNA
Source: RNAcentral